This 1218-nucleotide unclassified non-coding RNA is filed under the name Hevea brasiliensis (rubber tree). The record is from RNAcentral. Lineage: Eukaryota; Viridiplantae; Streptophyta; Magnoliopsida; Malpighiales; Euphorbiaceae.
CAGCUAUCUUCUAAAUUCAUUAGAUUAUGUCUAAUCCUGCACGUGUCGAGAAAACUCAUUAUAGAGGUUAAAAUGUUUUCAAUGGGAAUUUUAAAAGAAAAAAUAGAAAUUUUAAUUCGUAAGUAAGCAAAGCAAUGUAGUUUUUAACUGAAUUGAUAGAAUUAAACUAAAUUUUUAAGUCUAUCUCAUAAUUAAACAUUAUCAAAGGCCUUGAAAUGGAAUCCCUUCCUUGUGCAUUAGCUUUGCUAGCCCUAUGGCUGUGGCAUAAUCCCCUUCUCUCUGCAAAAUUCAAAAGCUUCUGCAUAUAAAUCUCCCACAUCAUAUUUCGUAGACUCAAAUUUGAAUGUGAAUCCUAAGUCCAAUAGCUUCUUUGAUGAGCAAGAAAUAGCUUUCAGAGAUUCAUCAAUACCCUCAAAUUUGGUAGGAACAUUAUACUCAGGAUACUUUUGGCUAAGUGAUUUUGCCAAAUCCACUAUUGUAAAACUAUGAUUGGAGCAUAUAUAUCUCCCAUUUGCUUCUGGAUGUUCAAACAGGAAUAUAUGAGCGCUGCACGCAUCUUCCAAAUGCACUGCUUGUCCUGUAGCUAUCAUCUUGUAAAGUGCUUCAUUUCCUACGAUAUUGCCAAUUAUACUUGAAAUUAAUUAGCAUUGGACUUAGCAAUUAAUGAUAACAUAAUUAAGACUAAAUGAACAAUGAUUAUACAUACUUGUGAUCAAAGCCAAUCCUAAGUCGAUACUGAAAGGCUUUGAAGGAGUAAGAAAAGGACCCACCACCAGAGAUAGAUGAACAGUGACGAGAUUUAUGCCAUUUUCCUUGGCAAAUUCCCAUGCUGCUUUCUCAGCUUUUGUUUUUGCAACAAAAUAUGACUACAAAAACAACAAGAAUGUACUCUAAUAGUCGAUAAUAAUGAAAUUCACAUGAAAUUUAUGAUCUGAUUAUCAAAAUUAAAUCGUUGUAUGCACGAUAAUUUUUUAUUUAUAUGCUAAUUGAUUAAUUAAAUGAAGAAGGAAAAUGAUAACCCAUCCAGGCAUCUUCUCUGCAUAGCAAAAAUCAACAUCAGUCCAAAAGCUCUCAUCAUACUCCGGCAGCGGAGGUGGUGGUUGGAUGGCAACGGUUCCUGCGGUUGAGGUGUAGAUGAACCUUCUGAUGGUUUUUGCCUUCAAGCAGGAUCUCAUGAUGUUCAAUACCCCAUUUACUGUAGGCUUUAUAAUGUCAGCC